Molecule: non-coding RNA, 185 nt
Organism: Caenorhabditis elegans
Lineage: Eukaryota; Metazoa; Nematoda; Chromadorea; Rhabditida; Rhabditidae
Source: Ensembl
CUUGGUCUAUCUUCGAAGAGCUUAUCAUUUCUUUUGCGUUUUCGUUUUCAUUUUUCUCCAACUUUUUACGUUCUCGACAGAACGGAGGGCUGGUGGGCGCAUUUUUGUUGCUGUCAAAUUAACAACUGGUGAGAAGAUAGGGAGGAAAUGUUUCAAAAGACAAGGAGUCCGACCAGUCAAAACGA